Corvus hawaiiensis (hawaiian crow) is the source of this 144-nucleotide long non-coding RNA. RefSeq lists it as uncharacterized. The transcript is spliced from 3 exons. NCBI's taxonomy places the organism in Eukaryota, Metazoa, Chordata, Aves, Passeriformes, Corvidae. The record is from RefSeq and is a predicted model, not a curated record.
GCAUAUGCAGUAUUUCAUCCAAGAAUAAUAGAAUAUCCUGAGUUGGAGGGACCCAUGAGGAUCAUCUAAGUCCAACUCCUGGCCCUGCACAGGACACCUCAAGAGUCACACCAUGUACCUGGCAGCAUUGUCCAACCACUUAUU